Molecule: ribosomal RNA, 512 nt
Filed under: uncultured bacterium
Lineage: Bacteria
Description: bacterial SSU rRNA
Rfam family: Bacterial small subunit ribosomal RNA
Source: RNAcentral
UGGCUCAGGACGAACGCUGGCGGCGUGCCUAACACAUGCAAGUCGAGCGGGGACAUGCGACGGAGUCGAAGUUUCGGAUGGAGACAAAGAUGUAUUGUCUAGCGGCGGACGGGUGAGUAACGCGUGAGCAACCUGUCCCUUACAGGGGGAUAACACAGCGAAAGUUGUACUAAUACCGCAUAAGACCACAGAGUGACAUCGCUCAGGGGUCAAAGGAGUAAUCCGGUAAGGGGUGGGCUCGCGUCCGAUUAGAUAGUUGGUGAGGUAACGGCCCACCAAGUCGACGAUCGGUAGCCGACCUGAGAGGGUGAUCGGCCACAUUGGGACUGAGACACGGCCCAAACUCCUACGGGAGGCAGCAGUGGGGAAUAUUGGGCAAUUGGGGGGAAACCCUGACCCAGCAACGCCGCGUGAGGGAAGAAGGUUUUCGGAUCGUAAACCUCUGUCCUUGGUGAAGAGGAAGAGACGGUAGCCAAGGAGGAAGCCCCGGCUAACUACGUGCCAGCCGCGGC